RNAcentral lists this ribosomal RNA (413 nucleotides) under bacterium enrichment culture clone ALO1_GLFRUDD03FQ0AP. RNAcentral describes it as "bacterial SSU rRNA". It matches the Rfam family "Bacterial small subunit ribosomal RNA", at positions 9 to 424 of the family's 1533-position model. The record is from RNAcentral.
GAGUUUGAUCCUGGCUCAGAUUGAACGCUGGCGGCAUGCCUUACACAUGCAAGUCGAACGGCAGCACGGGAGCUUGCUCCUGGUGGCGAGUGGCGAACGGGUGAGUAAUGCAUCGGAACGUAUCCUGGAGUGGGGGAUAACGUAGCGAAAGUUACGCUAAUACCGCAUAUUCUGUGAGCAGGAAAGCGGGGGACCUUCGGGCCUCGCGCUCUUGGAGCGGCCGAUGUCGGAUUAGCUAGUUGGUGAGGUAAAGGCUCACCAAGGCGACGAUCCGUAGCAGGUCUGAGAGGAUGAUCUGCCACACUGGAACUGAGACACGGUCCAGACUCCUACAGGAGGCAGCAGUGGGGAAUUUUGGACAAUGGGGGCAACCCUGAUCCAGCCAUGCCGCGUGAGUGAAGAAGGCCUCGGUU